RNAcentral lists this ribosomal RNA (498 nucleotides) under uncultured Glomeromycotina. RNAcentral's name for it is "partial small subunit ribosomal RNA". It matches the Rfam family "Eukaryotic small subunit ribosomal RNA", at positions 591 to 1092 of the family's 1831-position model. Lineage: Eukaryota; Fungi; Glomeromycota. The record is from RNAcentral.
CCAAUAGCGUAUAUUAAAGUUGUUGCAGUUAAAAAGCUCGUAGUUGAAUUUCGGGAUUCUACCGUUGGUCGGGCUAUCCAGUCUGUACUAGCGUGUAGAAUUUCUACCUUCUGGGGAACCGUCAUGUUAUUAAUUUAGUGUAAUGGGAAACCAGGACCUUUACCUUGAAAAAAUUAGAGUGUUCAAAGCAGGCUUACGACUGAAUACAUUAGCAUGGAAUAAUAAAAUAGGACGGUGGUCCUGUUUUGUUGGUUUCUGAAUCACCGUAAUGAUUAAUAGGGAUAGUUGGGGGCAUUAGUAUUCAAUUGUCAGAGGUGAAAUUCUUGGAUUUAUUGAAGACUAACUUCUGCGAAAGCAUUUGCCAAGGAUGUUUUCAUUAAUCAAGAACGAAAGUUAGGGGAUCGAAGACGAUCAGAUACCGUCGUAGUCUUAACCAUAAACUAUGCCGACUAGGGAUCGGACGAUGUUAAAUAUUAUUGACUCGUUCGGCGCCUUACG